This 101-nucleotide microRNA precursor is filed under the name Sorex araneus (European shrew). RNAcentral's name for it is "miRNA (ENSSARG00000018558.1)". The record is from RNAcentral. Lineage: Eukaryota; Metazoa; Chordata; Mammalia; Eulipotyphla; Soricidae.
GAAGUUUCCCUCAGGAUAGCUGGCGCUCUCGAAUGCUCACCCACGUAGUUUUAUCCAGUAAAGUGAAUGAUUAGAGGUCUUGAGGCCGAAACAUAUACUCA